UGGGGGAUAUUGCACAAUGGGCGAAAGCCUGAUGCAGCGACGCCGCGUGGGGGAUGAAGGCCUUCGGGUUGUAAACUUCUUUUGCUCUGAACAAGGCGCACCAUGGGGUGUGUUGAGUGUAGGGGUUGAUUAGCGCCGGCUAACUACGUGCCAGCAGCCGCGGUAAUACGUAGGGCGCGAGCGUUGUCCGGAAUUAUUGGGCGUAAAGGGCUUGUAGGUGGCUGGUUGCGUCUGUCGUGAAAGCUCAUGGCUUAACUGUGGGUUUGCGGUGGGUACGGGCUGGCUUGAGUGCAGUAGGGGAGGCUGGAAUUCCUGGUGUAGCGGUGGAAUGCGCAGAUAUCAGGAGGAAUACCGGUGGCGAAGGCGGGUCUCUGGGCUGUUACUGACACUGAGGAGCGAAAGCAUGGGGAGAGAACAGG
This 419-nucleotide ribosomal RNA is filed under the name bacterium. RNAcentral describes it as "partial 16S ribosomal RNA". It matches the Rfam family "Bacterial small subunit ribosomal RNA", at positions 355 to 776 of the family's 1533-position model. The record is from RNAcentral.